GAUCAAGCUUAAUCGUCGAGAUAAAGCAUUCACUUCAUGAGGAAAAGACUCUACUACCAACAUCAAAAGCCUGUCAGACUGAGCACAUGAAAGUCUGUUUUCUGAGAGCUGCUCAUCAUCUGACUGGAGAACUCGACGGAGCUUUUUAUUCUUGAAACAUUCAAAACAAAGCAUCCUUGGAAGUCCAUCGUGAAACAAAUAGUCAUCCGAAUCAAUCAUCUGAGUGCUAGCACUUCCUGGGUCUCCAUACUACCCUUCCCAUCAGCCCCUGCUGUCUCUCCCAGAAGCUCCACAGCUGUUUUCCAUCUGCAACAAAUGGAUUCAUUUGUUUUUCUCGUCGGAUCUGGAAUCUGCCUCAGAACUCUAUGGAUGGAAAACUCCAGUAUUUUUCACCAUUUUUGUUGCACGGCUAAUUAUGGGUACAUGGAUAGAAAUAAAUCUAAAAAAAACAAUGGUUGUCAUACUUUGUUUCGCAGUUUAUCACAAACACAAAUAAACAAAUGUCUGAAUAAUGGGUGAUGGGAAGGGGGGGCUGGAUUGCUCCAUGGCAACUCAGAGGCAGAUUUCUAACCAAUUCCUGCCACUCUGCAGAAGCUAUAUCCCAGAAAACAAAACAGAUAAAAAAAAUUUGGCUAAAAAUGGCACAAAAAAACAAAUAAAAUAA
Oryzias melastigma (Indian medaka) is the source of this 664-nucleotide long non-coding RNA. RefSeq lists it as uncharacterized. The record is from RefSeq and is a predicted model, not a curated record. NCBI's taxonomy places the organism in Eukaryota, Metazoa, Chordata, Actinopteri, Beloniformes, Adrianichthyidae. The transcript has 4 exons.